Molecule: RNA transcript, 1569 nt
Organism: Ananas comosus (pineapple)
Lineage: Eukaryota; Viridiplantae; Streptophyta; Magnoliopsida; Poales; Bromeliaceae
Gene name: probable UDP-3-O-acylglucosamine N-acyltransferase 2, mitochondrial
Exons: 12
Source: RefSeq, a predicted model, not a curated record
AGCUCUAAACCCUAGUAUAUAUCCCCUUCCCACCUCCGAACCCUUCUCUCUCUCUCUCUCUCUCUCUCUCUCUCUGUUGCUCUGCUUAGUUGUUCUUAGGUUCUCUUUGCGUGGUAAUCGUUGUCGUUGUGAGAUUCUACAAUUAGUGUUUUCCACGAAGAUUUAUAAGGAGAGCUCAAAGUUUUGUCAAUGGCGACGGCAUUAAGACGAGCUCCGAAGCCCCUUGAAUUGCUAUCAAAAUGGAGGUUCAAUUUUGAUGGGGCGGUGGCCUCGGCCUCUUUUUCGAAUCGCCGUAGCUUUUCGGAUAGUUCGAGCACCGAUUGUGGUGAUAGGACUAUAGCUGAUUUGUCGGUGUUCGUCAGAUGGCAUAACGGUGGCGGCAUGUUUCACAGGUCUGCAUGUAUCAAUUCAACUGCAUUUGUAGAAACUGGCGCUGUAGUGCACGCAAACUCCAUGCUUGGUGAAUGCGUCCAUAUUGCAUCUGGCGCAAUAGUUGGGCCUUCUGUGUCAGUUGGACAGUCGACAAGAAUAGGGUAUAAUGCCGUUUUAAGCAAUUGUUCUCUGGGGGUCUCCUGUAUAAUUCAUAAUGGUGUCUGCAUUGGUCAGGAUGGGUUUGGAUUCUUUGUGGAUGAUGAAGGAUGUGUAGUUAAGAAACCUCAGAUGCUUCAUGUGAGGAUUGGGGACCAUGUGGAAAUCGGUGCUAAUACAUGCAUCGACAGGGGCAGUUGGAGAGAGACAGUCAUCGGAGAUCAUACGAAGAUAGACAACCUUGUUCAGAUUGGUCACAAUGUCAUGAUUGGAAAGUGCUGCAUAAUUUGUGGACAAGUUGGGAUCGCAGGUUCUGCAACAAUCGGGGACUAUGUUAUGCUUGGAGGUCGAGUCGGUGUAAAGGAUCAUGUUUCCGUUUCUUCGAAGGUUCGACUCGCAGCAAAUAGCCUCGUCACAAAGGAUAUUGUUGAGCCCGGCGACUAUGGGGGAUUCCCUGCGGUGCCCAUCAACGAGUGGCGCAGACAAUGUGCCAACUUGCGCAUAUUUUCAAAGAAAGAUCCGUCGAAAAGAUAAAUCGCUGACUCGUAACAGACGAAUCAAGACAGAAUUGAAGAAAUUAUAUGGGUCUCAGAAUCCAGGGAAAAAAUAAAGAAUCUUAACUGCUAGAUCUGCUGGGGACGUGUAGUCACAACACCGUAAAACGACGAGCUUCAGCUCAGCACUGAUCAGAUGCAUGGACUGGAUUCGGGAUUCGUAUGUUUGGGUAGUUGUUUGGUAGGUUAAUGGUCCCACCUAAGGAGAAAAGUUUCGACGUUUUGUUAAGUUAAUGAUCGAUCACUCGGAAAAGGACCGAAGCACCGAGAACAGCGAAGAAACCAUCAUAACAGGAACUUGCUAUUCUCACCCGCCGUUUUUUAUUAGCAUUGCGCAAAAAUUUGUUGCUUGGUCCCUGGUGCACCGAGGACCGGUCUUUAAACCCACAAGGCCACAACUUAAUCACCAUUUCUCAGUUAGUAGUGUAUUAUUAAAGAGAAGUACAGUAGUAAAUGCACAACAAGUGUAUUAAUGGAGAUUUUAUUU